This is a long non-coding RNA of Hipposideros armiger (great roundleaf bat), 1764 nucleotides long. RefSeq lists it as uncharacterized. The record is from RefSeq and is a predicted model, not a curated record. The transcript is spliced from 2 exons. NCBI's taxonomy places the organism in Eukaryota, Metazoa, Chordata, Mammalia, Chiroptera, Hipposideridae.
CGCGGCCAGGCCGCCGCCCGAGGAGUCAUCCACCGCCUGAAGAGUCACGCGCCGCCGCCCCGGGAGUGAUGCGCCCUCUGCAGAGAUCCCUCCGCCGCCGCCUGGAAUUUUCCACACGCUCUGCCGGCCUUCUUUCUGACUUCUCCAGGGCGGGGUGACCUCAAGCAACCCGGCAUUCCCCUUCGCCCCCUCGGGAGAGCGGCCCCAGCCCGCCUACCCCAUCCACCCCCUCUCUCAGGGAACAGUUUCCCCCUCGCCACCACCACCAUCAGAAAAAAAAAAGGGGACUCCCCCCCCACCCCAGUGGAAUCCGCUUCCCAAAGACAAAGGGUUGUGAACCUGCCUGGGGAUGAGGCCUGGUCUUGUGGAAACAACUUAGCCACGCGGGGCUGACGGCUCUGGCCCAGGGUGGUAUGUAAUUUUUGACUCGGCCUGGGACAGGGUCCAGACCAGACCCACCCUGGUGGAACCCAGGUCUGGGUGUGAGGCCAAGACCCCUGGUCGGUGGUGAGGGUGGUCUCAAGAGUGAGGUAAGGUGCCAUCCUAAGCGGUUACUGUUGUGGCGCCUGAUGUGUCAGGCGGGGGCUGCAGAGGCAGGACAUUUGUGGACAAAAUUGACCCACGGUUUAUUUUCCAGGUGGCAGUGCUUCCCUUUGGACUUUUCCUCUAGGUUCGGUGCUAACCUCUCCUGUGAGCUCACUCUGCCCCUCCUCCUCCCUUUAACUCUCUCGAGGUUAUCCAUUCACUUAAAACCUUGCUUCUGGUAAUCUGGUAAGCCUGGGAAAGUUGCCGAAGUUGCUGUUGGAGUCGGUAUUGUUGGUAAUUUUGGAGGAGGAAAGGCUCUCCCUGCCGAGACUCUGGGUGGGGCGGGUUGGUGUUGCUUGCCUGGUGGAGAGGGUGGGUAUUGAAUGCACCCUUGGGUGGGGCCACAGCGAUGGUACCCCUUGAAAGUUACUGAAGUGCCUCAUGGACCGUGGUUUAUUGCUGUAGUGCUCAUCAUGGCGAUCAGAUGGCACCAGGAGAAAUGGAGCCCCUGGCCAGUGUGAGUCGUAGCAGUGCAGGAGGGGAGAGCCUGAAGGAGAAAGCCCGCCUAUAUUGAUGCCUGCAGAUUUAAUUUCCAGAGUCUUAGGAGGAGGAAGUUCUCCAGUGUCAUGGUUCCAGGCCUUGCUCAGGAGGCCAUCGUUUGAGGUUUUCAGACUGCCCCCUUUUGAGGGGACAGUCUUAAAAAGUCCAAAGCAGAUGCACCAGGGGCCACCAGCAGAUGUGUGUAUUUGAAUUUUGAUCCGGGAGCACCAACCUCCGGGCACAUGAAUGCCAGCAGGCAACCCUCCUUUUCUGGGUGGAGGUUUUCAGAUGCUGCAUCUUCUUAAUUGAGCCUCCUGUCAUACUAGUUCUGUACUACGAACCUUGCUUCCAGAAGAUUCUUAAGCUAUAGAACAUUUUAAUGUUGAUGCCACAACGCAAAGUGAUGCCUUGUAGAUGGAGCUGGCAGAUGGAGCCCCGUGACCCUCUCACCUACUCACCCACCUACCUGCCUGCCUGUGCAUUGGUUGGAGGAAUCUUAGUGUGAUAAAAACUAUGGGGGAAAUGUUCGUUUGAAAUGCCUUUAGGCAAAUACUUGGAUGAAGUAAAUGUGUUAUGCUGCCGUCUGGGAGGGGACGAGUUGGUCAUGCCCAAAUUCUGUUAGUAAUGUCAGGUCUAUUUUGGGCAUUUCGACUGCAUUGCAGAUGACUAAGAAGAAAACAGUUGGGAUACCAAUAGUGA